Acanthopagrus latus (yellowfin seabream) is the source of this 321-nucleotide long non-coding RNA. RefSeq lists it as uncharacterized. NCBI's taxonomy places the organism in Eukaryota, Metazoa, Chordata, Actinopteri, Spariformes, Sparidae. The record is from RefSeq and is a predicted model, not a curated record. The transcript is spliced from 2 exons.
UUCAGCUUGGCCCAGUUCAGAGACAGCUGCUGCUCCGACAGAUCAAACGUCAGGUUCCUGGGGGCCGCCGACGGCACUGAGGACGCCAUGACACACAGUCGUCAACAGAUCUGUGACCUCACAGGUCUGAAGUCAGUGUCACAGUUCAGCCUGCAGGGGGCGCUGCAGAGACUGCAGGCAGCAGCAGAGUCCUUUCAUAUGGAUUGAGGCCACAGACAAAAGCUGAUUGUACGGGGAGGACUGGAAUCUACUGGAUCACCUCCAGCUGGACCACACACACACACACACACACACACACACACACACACACACACACACACA